This is a non-coding RNA of Cyanistes caeruleus (blue tit), 388 nucleotides long. The record is from RefSeq and is a predicted model, not a curated record. Lineage: Eukaryota; Metazoa; Chordata; Aves; Passeriformes; Paridae.
UUAAACUCAGAAUAGUAGCUUUCAAGUUCACAGCAAUGCCUCAGCACAGUUGUUGAAUCUGCCUCAUCUUCCUGAACUGUAUUGCAAUGCAAACUUGUAGUAUGGAGUCAAGGAACAGGAUCCUCUGCUGAACUUUCCCAGGCAGCAGUUGACAGCUCAGACACCCACAGCAUGACACGACAAAAACCAGCUACACAAACAGACCACAAGAGCUCUGAAAAAAAGUCUGCAUUCAAAUACAGUGAAAUCAAGUCUCAUACUAGAGCUGUUUCUUUGCCUCUGCUUUUAUGCAACUUGCUCAAGAAAGCAGCAUUUUUUAAAAUCUGUAAGACUGAAAGGAACGUAAAGGAAAAGGACAUUGACGACAGUAACACUGCUGAAGAAGAGC